AAGGCCUUCGGGUUGUAAACCGCUUUUGUCAGGGAAGAAAAGUCUCGGGUUAAUACCUUGGGAUGAUGACGGUACCUGAAGAAUAAGCACCGGCUAACUACGUGC
Molecule: ribosomal RNA, 105 nt
Filed under: uncultured bacterium
Lineage: Bacteria
Description: partial 16S ribosomal RNA
Rfam family: Bacterial small subunit ribosomal RNA
Source: RNAcentral